This 301-nucleotide ribosomal RNA is filed under the name uncultured bacterium. RNAcentral's name for it is "partial 16S ribosomal RNA". It matches the Rfam family "Bacterial small subunit ribosomal RNA", at positions 509 to 807 of the family's 1533-position model. The record is from RNAcentral.
CAGCCGCCACGGUAAUACGGAGGGAGCUAGCGUUGUUCGGAAUUACUGGGCGUAAAGCGCGCGUAGGCGGUUACUCAAGUCAGAGGUGAAAGCCCGGGGCUCAACCCCGGAACUGCCUUUGAAACUAGGUGACUAGAAUCUUGGAGAGGUCAGUGGAAUUCCGAGUGUAGAGGUGAAAUUCGUAGAUAUUCGGAAGAACACCAGUGACGAAGGCGACUGACUGGACAAGUAUUGACGCUGAGGUGCGAAAGCGUGGGGAGCAAACAGGAUUAGAUACCCCAGUAGUCCCUGUCUCUUAUAC